UUAUUAUUAUUUUUUUUUGAAUCAAAGUCAAAGUUUUUAAUUCGCGCAUCAAAUAAAUCUUCGAAAAACAACAAAGAAGACAGACAGCGAAGACAAAUACAACGCAGGUAAACCGACAACCGCCACAAAUCAAGGGAACUGUUUAUAAAAACAAGAAGACUGACAGCUUCAUUUCCAACUCAGAAGAAACUAUAACCUUGUCCAAAAUGUUUGAUCAAUGUCAUGCAUGCUAAUUAAUUAAUGUCUCAGUAUUUUUGAUGUUCACUUUGAAUACAAGCAAAAAAAGAUAAUUACAAUCGGUAAUUAGAUUUGUCCUAAUAUAAAUAAAUAGUAAUUAUUUGCAAAAAAAUAAUUAUAAUAAUUGAGACUUGCACAUCGAAAGCUGCAGGUGCGUCUACCAGCUGCUGUGUCCUUUGGAGAACCUCUACCGAGCAACAUUUAAAUCAACGCCCAAUCAACGGAUAUAAGCCCAGGCAAAACGGAGAAAAACAACAGA
This is a non-coding RNA of Onthophagus taurus, 496 nucleotides long. The record is from RefSeq and is a predicted model, not a curated record. Lineage: Eukaryota; Metazoa; Arthropoda; Insecta; Coleoptera; Scarabaeidae.